GAGACACAUCAGUGAUUCCACUGAACUGGAAGUUAAGGCUGCCACCUGGCCACUUUGGGCUCCUCAUGCAUCUGAAUCAACAGGCAAAGAAGAAUUGAGGUCUUUGCAGUCUACAUCCCAAGACUGACUUCCAGUGUUUCUUCUCGGAAGAAAUGCUUUAUUCACAAAAGCCAAGA
Molecule: long non-coding RNA, 176 nt
Organism: Equus quagga
Lineage: Eukaryota; Metazoa; Chordata; Mammalia; Perissodactyla; Equidae
Exons: 3
Source: RefSeq, a predicted model, not a curated record